This is a non-coding RNA of Phrynosoma platyrhinos (Desert horned lizard), 70 nucleotides long. NCBI's taxonomy places the organism in Eukaryota, Metazoa, Chordata, Lepidosauria, Squamata, Phrynosomatidae. The record is from the annotation of a GenBank genome assembly.
GCCAGGGUGGUGUAGUGGUUUGAUCAUUAGACUACGACUCUGGAGAUCUGGGUUCAAUCCCUGUUUGGCC